Molecule: long non-coding RNA, 3232 nt
Organism: Cynoglossus semilaevis (tongue sole)
Lineage: Eukaryota; Metazoa; Chordata; Actinopteri; Pleuronectiformes; Cynoglossidae
Exons: 17
Source: RefSeq, a predicted model, not a curated record
AGAGGAGUGAGAGGUGGAGUAAAGAUUUGGGGCAGAGAGAUUGACUGCCCCUUUCGUCCCUUUGAUCUCUUUCAGGAGUUGAGGCAGUGUUUCCACGGUGAGGACAGCCUCAGGCAGCUUGGCGAGAAGAGACAGAUCACUAGGCUCCAGACCGCAGCUGUUGAGGAUGUGGAGAGCGUUUUCUUGUGACCACGAACCUCUGGUGGAGGAAGAGUAGGACGACGAAGACUCCUGCAGUCGUACCGUACUGCCAUAGUCAAGAUCCACUGAGUUGAGAUGGUGUUCUGAGGAGCUGCGUGAUCGAUGAUUCGGUCUAAGCAGUGUACCGUUGGACAAACCAUACCAGCAGGGAGCGCCACAGACCACAGACGAACGUUUCUUGCUCUUCAAUGACAGUUUCGUUCAAUUUAAAAGCAGCGUCUCCUGAACAUUAUUCCUGGAAGUUUCCUGACUCUGAGGACGGACAGCGGUGGAGACAGACUGACUCUGGUUCCUGCAUGUGUUUUGUUCACAUUUCAAGGGGGCGGGGUGGGAAGAGCAGGACAAGUGGCCAUUUGCUCGUCUCCAGGGCCAUGCACCAUCUGCCAGCAUCCCCCUGAAAACCUCCGCCUGCACAGAUCGCCACGAGCCCAGUGACUCCCGACACAGCUGGAACACAGAAGUGAUGAUGGGAAGACGACCUGCUGCUGCUGCAUUCAGGCCCCUCAAGAGAGGCAUAAUGUUGGACCCAGUGAACACCUGAAACUGUGACAUCACAUCCUGAAGGCUUUGUUGACAAAUAUGGAAAAGGGUGGAAUGGUUUGAUCUACUGAACAGAAAAAACGACAUCUGCACGAACCUGACUCUUGCUCACUAUUUAUCCCUGUGAAAGAGGUGACGACGUUGGGGAGGAAAAUGUUAACUACCUGUUCAGAUGUGAUCAGGUAUUUGAUAGGUUUGCUGUAAGAUCAUCAACCUUUUGACUACAAUUCAAAGCUAUUCCAGCUCCAGAUGAACAGUCCAGGUUCAGAGUUCAGGUCCAAAAGGUUCUUUAUGGUCCUGCUUUUCACACCUGAUGACUGCAGCAGCUCCCGACGUCGGCAGCGCCCAUGCAGUACUCUGAUCAUAAACAGCUCCUUCAUAUUAAAAACCAGAUAAUAACUCCCAGAAUGCUCUUUGAUCAGAUUAAAAACACUUCAUACAGGAAGUGGUCUUCGGCAAGCGGACGGCAGGACGGGAGCAAGGGAGCUGUGCUGGAAAACAAAUUAUUUGGAGGAAGCGAUUAUAACAAACCGCAGUAGUUCCCUGGAGUGAUGCAGUAAUAUUAAAGUCAUGUACACACGGAGGUGAAAACACGCGCACACUCCCGCCGACAUGAUGGACGUCUAAAUUAGAACAAGGAGAGAAACAGGAAACUGACAGAGCGACGAUGGAAGCCUGGGGUGUUACAGUGCAUCAAACAACAAGUGCGUCUGAAACUAAACCAUCAUCAAGGUUGGGGCAAAACAAAAGAGGAGGAGCCUUUACUGAUGAAAGAACAUCCUUGUCCUUGUCCACCAGUAAGAGUUCAGGGACCAGGUCCACAUUCAAAGAUGGGGAUUGUGUCACGAUGCCAAAGAAAAGGUCUGUGCUGUUGCUGUGCAAACCCCUGAGGGACAAACAGGAACUGUUAACGGAGCUCCGCCUUCAUCUGGCCCCAAAAUCACCUCAACACUGGCUCCAAUUAAAGCUCACCAACAUCUUUCCAGCCGUGACACCACCUGCAGGUGUUGGGGUUUAAUGAAGGACAGGAAAAUGCAGUAUUUGUUACACCUCCUGAAUGUGAUGCCAACAUGGGCCUGGAACCUUGUGUUCAAGGACACACUAAGGUGAAGAGCCAAGAUCUGGUCACUUUGUGCCAAAGGCAAAAGUGGGUGACCAGCAAGGUGACGAGUGGAGACCUGGAGAUCAACAGGCUGCCAAGAGAUCCAGAUCUGGGCCAUCUUUAAAGGCAGCAGAGAUGUCGUCUUGAUGGCUCUGAGCACAGUGCGUCAAAAUACUAGGACACAGUCUGGAUCACCUGGGUGUCUGAUACCAAGGUCUGAAGCAUCUGAUCAUCCUAGAGGAUCAACAAUGGUGAUUUCAGGUGAUUGAAAGAGUGGAGACUCUGCGCUUCAUUAACUCCAGCUUCAAAUGGAUAUGUGGCAGAGAAGCCCAUAAUCCCUGUUGCAAGGUUGGACUGGCAUCGCUGCUAAUGAACCCGAGAGCUCAGCAUCGUCUCGGGUCAGGAUUCUUCACUACACACCACCUGACUGCUGUUUGAGAUUCAGAUCAGAGACAGAGGAAAUGGUUUUGUCUCAAAGACAAACUCUGAUCGGUCCAUGAUGUGACCUUAUGUGUGUAUGUGGGUUUGUGUGUGUGUGUGUCAGACUUGAUCUCUGCCAGGAAGUUCAACUCCCAGUGGACAUUAGCUGUUGGAAUCCAGAACUGGACACUUCCUUGACACCCACAAAGUUGUGCUGUGGGACAAAACGCUACACACAACCGUGUGUUUGUGUGUGUGUGAGUAAACCAGGCAGUGGGGGCCAGCAUGGCUGAAGGCCAGACCAUCCCUGAAUAUUCCUGAUGUCCCUAAUGAGCGGGAGAGUCCCGGCCGCUCCCUGUAUCUGGAUGGUUUUUACUACGAUGAGUCCAACGAGGGACACGCUUAGAUUUAAAAAAACAGAGGAGACAAAGAGCGCCUGUGACCGACUCUUCCUCACUCCAACGCUUCGCCUCGUCCCCUGUGUGAAUGAAUCCUUGUGAGCAGUGCAGAAUCUAAAGAUCUGAUCUGACGAACACUGGAAAUGUGACAGUGGAUUGUUGUAGCUGUUGUUGUCAAGUUGCACCAUCAGGCUGGACCAGGCCACCUGACCAACUCUUCAAGUUAUAAAUGUUAAACCCACCAACCUGGUUAGAAAAACUUCACUUCAAAACUUUUUCUGUAGUUCCUGACUGACACGCCAAGGUUGAUCACCGUGUCUAAUUCAUGGACUUCUGACAGGCACCCUUGGAGGGCAUCGAAGGGCUGUGAAGGACCACCAGAAAAACAAACUCCAUCCGGCUGCAAGGCCACGAACGGUCCAUCACUCAGAUGAAGUACAACAGAGAAGGAGACCUUCUGUUUUCCGUCGCUAAAGAUCCAGUGAGUAACAUGAAAUGAUUGUGCUUAACAAGUGCCACCAAUGGCUAUAGGAUAGUAAAUAGUUUGACAUCAAGGAUAUGGAAUGUCCAC